CCUACGUGUGGCUGCAGUCGAGAAUCAUUCACAAUGUGGGAAACCCUGAUGGUGCGACGCCGCGUGGGGGAAUGAAGGUCUUCGGAUUGUAAACCCCUGUCAUGUGGGAGAAAAUUAAAAAGAUAGUACCACAAGAGGAAGAGACGGCUACCUUUGUGCCAGCAGCCGCGGUAAUACAGAGGGCUCAAGCGUUGUUCGGAAUCACUGGGCGUAAAGCGUGCGUAGGCUGUUUCGUAAGUCGUGUGUGAACGGCGCGGGCACAACCCGCGGACGGCACAUGAUACUGCGAGACUUGAGUAAUUGAGGGGUGACCGGAAGUGUCGGUGUAGAAGUGAAAUGCGUAGAUUUCGAGAGGAACACUCGUGGCGAAGGCGGGUGCCUGGACAUUAACUGACGCUGAGGCACGAAGGCCAGGGGAGCGAAAGGGAUUAGAUACCCCAGUAGUC
Molecule: ribosomal RNA, 446 nt
Filed under: uncultured bacterium
Lineage: Bacteria
Description: partial 16S ribosomal RNA
Rfam family: Bacterial small subunit ribosomal RNA
Source: RNAcentral